AGACUCCCCACCACAGUGACACAAACCAACCAGCCGCCUCGAGAGGUUGCUGAAGAGGUAUGCAGCGAUGGUCUGGAGGAAAAAAUAGUCACAUGGACUGGUGUGCAUUCCAGUACUUGAAAUGAUGCUGUUGCUCAGGCACAUCCAGGUGCGAGGAUGGGGGAGAUCCGGAUGUCGCUAAAUAAAAGAAUCUGUGAACUGCUUCACCAAGAGAAAAAGAAGUCCAUGGACAGGCCUAUGAGCCCUCUUGUUGACCUUGAGUGACUGAGGCUGCGGGCGGUCUGCCCCUGAAUUCACCUUCACUUUCACUUUUUUUUUUUUUUUUUAAAUAUAUCUGAAGGUGUGUGUGUGUGUGCGCGCGCGGGUGUGUGUGUGUGUGGGCGCGGGCACGCGUAUGUGUUUGUGUGUGUGCACGCGUGCAUGUGUGCCAGUGCUUUAUGUGAGGUGUUUCGCUUACUGGCCACAGCCACAGUUUUUUGUUUUGUUUUGUUUUUGUUUUAUUUGUU
Molecule: long non-coding RNA, 506 nt
Organism: Engraulis encrasicolus (European anchovy)
Lineage: Eukaryota; Metazoa; Chordata; Actinopteri; Clupeiformes; Engraulidae
Exons: 3
Source: RefSeq, a predicted model, not a curated record